This 78-nucleotide transfer RNA is filed under the name Rhodobiaceae bacterium. RNAcentral's name for it is "tRNA-Met". The stretch from base 16 to 67 matches the Rfam family "tRNA", at positions 10 to 63 of the family's 71-position model. Rfam says of the family: Transfer RNA (tRNA) molecules are approximately 80 nucleotides in length. Their secondary structure includes four short double-helical elements and three loops (D, anti-codon, and T loops). The record is from RNAcentral. Lineage: Bacteria; Pseudomonadati; Pseudomonadota; Alphaproteobacteria; Hyphomicrobiales; Rhodobiaceae.
AGCAUGGCAAUAUAUUGGCAACAGCCUGUCAGGCUCAUAACCUGAAGGUCGUAGGUUCAAAUCCUACCCCCGCAACCA